This 249-nucleotide ribosomal RNA is filed under the name uncultured bacterium. RNAcentral's name for it is "partial 16S ribosomal RNA". It matches the Rfam family "Bacterial small subunit ribosomal RNA", at positions 1250 to 1500 of the family's 1533-position model. The record is from RNAcentral.
CAAAGCAGUGAUGCAGAGCAAAUCCCAAAAGCAGUCUUAGUUCGGAUUGUAGGCUGCAACUCGCCUACAUGAAGUCGGAAUUGCUAGUAAUCGCGGAUCAGCAUGCCGCGGUGAAUACGUUCCCGGGCCUUGUACACACCGCCCGUCACACCAUGAGAGUCGGGAACACCCGAAGUCCGUAGCCUAACCGCAAGGAGGGCGCGGCCGAAGGUGGGUUCGAUAAUUGGGGUGAAGUCGUAACAAGGUAUC